Molecule: long non-coding RNA, 2329 nt
Filed under: Manihot esculenta (cassava)
Lineage: Eukaryota; Viridiplantae; Streptophyta; Magnoliopsida; Malpighiales; Euphorbiaceae
Description: long non-coding RNA (MESC_LNC006854)
Source: RNAcentral
CCCAACAAGAUUCAGCUUCUAAAGUAACAGUUAUAAGUUUGGACAACAAUAAGUGAAUCCCCUGUUUUUUAACAAGACAACAGAGAGCACCAAUGUACUCAGGCUCAUCUAGCAUUUCCUUUUCUUUUCUUUUCUACUGAUAAAGGGUUCUCAUCUAACAUCUUGUCCAUUAUAACUACAAUUACCAAUGAAAAGGCACACUAGCUUUCACUAAAAUAAUCAAAUUACAAACAGCUUAAUAAUUAAAUGCCUGCAUCAACAGGGAAAACAAACAAGUCUAUAUAUGAACUAACAAUUGGAUCAUCAAAACCAAAUUGCAAUUUCCCAAGAAUUUUGAGACAGUUAAAUUUUACUAAAAUAGUUUCAUCAGCCACUUGAAGUUUAUAAGAUUACAUAUGUAUAUAUAUAUAUGUAGAAGAUAUAAGAUGAGUAGCAUUUAAGAUUAUAAUAAAACCAAUUCUAUAAUAUUUGAAUAGAAAUUAUAUUAAACUAAUUAGUACAUUGUGUUUCAUGCAUAUAGGCUUUAUCACAGUUUAACAGUGGGACUCAGGUUGUUUAUUCAUCCCUUUUGCAUUUAACUUGUAGAAAUAUAAUAUUUGAUGUUGUAUUUCAUAAUAAAGAUUACAACCUAUUUAUAUAUAAAAGACGGUAUCUAAGCAGGAAAGAAAAUCAAGUCUAUAAUUAUACAAUCCCUAAGAUUAAACAACUAACCCAUUUAUCAAUAUUUACUUCCUAUAUUAAUAUAUUUACUUCCUAUAAUCUAUAACACUCCCCCUCAAGUUGGAGCAUAAAUAUUAAUCAUGUCCAACUUGUUACAUAUAUAAUCAACUCGUCCCAUACAACUUAACAGACACCGAAUUUGUAAACCCAACUUCUUCCAAUAAUUGACGUACCCACAAAACUUCACAAACGAUUUUUGCCAUGACUCGACAUUUAGAUUCAGCACUAGAACGGGAGACCACAUUUUAUCAGCUUGGUAAAACGCCUUACUGUGAAUAGAAUUUCGAAUCCGUGAACAGUACUCGUGACUCGUGAACAGUACCCGAUGAACAGUACUCGUGAACAGUACCCGAGAAACAGUAUUCGUGAACAGUACCCGAUGAAUAAUUCCCGUGAACAAUACUUGAUGAAUAAUUCCCGUGAACAAUAUCUGAUGAAUAGAGCCCUAAGUCUCCAAGUGUUAUCCUUAUGGAUAACCCAAAUGAACAUAAACUUAAGUCUCCAAAUGUUACCCUUUAUGAGUAACCCAAAUGAAUAGAGCCCCUAAGUCUCCAAAUGUUACCCUUUAUGAGUAACCCAAAAUAAACAGAGCCUUAAGUCUCUAAAUGUUACCCUUUGUGAAUAACCCAAAUGAACAGAACCCUAAGUAUCCAGAUGUUACUCUUUAUGAGUAACCCAAAUGAACAGAUCCAAAUGUUACUCUUUAUGAGUAACCCAAAUGAACAGAGCGCUACGUCUCCAAAUGUUAUCCUUUAUGAGUAACCCAAAUGAAUAGAGCCCUAAGUCUCCAAAUGUUACCAUUUAUGAGUAACCCAAAUGAACAGAGGCCUAAAUCUCCAAAUGUUACUCUUUUAUGGGUAACCCAAAUAAACAUAGCCCUAAGUCUCCAAAAGUUACUCCAAAAGUUACUCUUUAUGGGUAACCCAAAUGAAUAGUAUCAAAAAGACGCCUUCACCCAACACCCAAACGGCAAACGAACCACAAAUCUGACAAGGGAGCUGCAAGUCGACUUUGGCAUCCUCUCUAGGUGAACGGUGAGAGACAAAUAUUAUCCUAGAUGGAUAACACAAAAGAACAGGAGUCCUGAGUCUCCAAAAAUUUAAAACUUGACGAGAGAGAAAAUAAAUCUCUACAAACCUAGCUCUGAUACCAUGUAGAAAUAUAAUAUUUGAUGUUGUAUUUCAUAAUAAAGAUUACAACCUAUUUAUAUAUAAAAGACGGUAUCUAAACAGGAAAGAAAAUCAAGUCUACAAUUAUACAAUCCCUAAGAUUAAGCAACUAACCCAUUUAUCAAUAUUUACUUCCUAUAUUAAUAUAUUUACUUCCUAUAGUACAUUGUGUUUUAUGCAUAUAGGCUUUAUCACAGUUUAACAGUGGGACUCAGGUUGUUUAUUCAUCCCUUUUGCAUUUAACUUAUUGUUUAUACUGACACACUAGCCAUAAGACCUCUAGCCUUCACACAAGCAACAUAAUAAUUCCAUAAGCAACAAGAGUGCCAAGCUACAUACAUUUAGUAUUACAAAACACCAAUGGGAAAACAAACACACAUCCGAAACUGUGAUAAAAAGCACAAGGUAGCAUGUUCUGAGCUAGUAAUUAUUAUAACUGG